AGGCCAGACUCCUACGGGAGGCAGCAGUGGGGAAUAUUGCACAAUGGGGGAACCCUGAUGCAGCGACGCCGCGUGAGCGAUGAAGUAUUUCGGUAUGUAAAGCUCUAUCAGCAGGGAAGAAAAUGACGGUACCUGACUAAGAAGCCCCGGCUAACUACGUGCCAGCAGCCGCGGUAAUACGUAGGGGGCAAGCGUUAUCCGGAUUUACUGGGUGUAAAGGGAGCGCAGACGGCAGCGCAAGCCAGGAGUGAAAGCCCGGGGCCCAACCCCGGGACUGCCCUUGGAACUGCGCGGCUGGAGUGCAGGAGGGGCAGGCGGAAUUCCUGGUGUAGCGGUGAAAUGCGUAGAUAUCAGGAGGAACACCGGUGGCGAAGGCGGCCUGCUGGACUGCGACUGACGUUGAGGCCCGAAAGCGUGGGGAGCAAACAGGAUUAGAUACCCCCGUAGG
RNAcentral lists this ribosomal RNA (448 nucleotides) under uncultured bacterium. RNAcentral describes it as "partial 16S ribosomal RNA". It matches the Rfam family "Bacterial small subunit ribosomal RNA", at positions 328 to 794 of the family's 1533-position model. The record is from RNAcentral.